GACGAACGCUGGCGGCGUGCUUAACACAUGCAAGUCGAACGGAAAGGCCCUGCUGUUGUGGGGUGCUCGAGUGGCGAACGGGUGAGUAACACGUGAGUAACCUGCCCUUGACUUUGGGAUAACUUCAGGAAACUGGGGCUAAUACCGGAUAGGAGCUCCUGCUGCAUGGUGGGGGUUGGAAAGUUUCGGCGGUUGGGGAUGGACUCGCGGCUUAUCAGCUUGUUGGUGGGGUAGUGGCUUACCAAGGCUUUGACGGGUAGCCGGCCUGAGAGGGUGACCGGCCACAGUGGGACUGAGAUACGGCACAGACUCAUACGGGAGGCAGCAGUGGGGAAUAGUGCACAAUGGGCGGAAGCCUGAUGCAGCAACGCCGCGUGCGGGAUGACGGCCUUCGGGUUGGAAACCGCUUUCGCCUGUGACGAAGCGUGAGUGACGGUAAUGGGUAAAGAAGCACCGGCUAACUACGUG
RNAcentral lists this ribosomal RNA (468 nucleotides) under uncultured bacterium. RNAcentral describes it as "partial 16S ribosomal RNA". It matches the Rfam family "Bacterial small subunit ribosomal RNA", at positions 28 to 507 of the family's 1533-position model. The record is from RNAcentral.